UCCUACGGGAGGCAGCAGUGAGGAAUAUUGGUCAAUGGGCGCAAGCCUGAACCAGCCAUCCCGCGUGCAGGAAGACGGCCCUAUGGGUUGUAAACUGCUUUUCCAGGGGGAGAAUUUUUCUGUCGUGACAGGAAUUGACGGUACCCUGGGAAUAAGCAUCGGCUAACUCCGUGCCAGCAGCCGCGGUAAUA
RNAcentral lists this ribosomal RNA (191 nucleotides) under uncultured bacterium. Its description in RNAcentral is "partial 16S ribosomal RNA". It matches the Rfam family "Bacterial small subunit ribosomal RNA", at positions 337 to 525 of the family's 1533-position model. The record is from RNAcentral.